Molecule: long non-coding RNA, 306 nt
Filed under: Hordeum vulgare
Lineage: Eukaryota; Viridiplantae; Streptophyta; Magnoliopsida; Poales; Poaceae
Description: long non-coding RNA (HVUL_LNC012361)
Source: RNAcentral
AGCGGUACUGAUCUAUUGAGCAAGCAAUGAAUCAUUUUCCAAUCGAAGAUCAUGACGAGACAUUUUCAACUUCUCAAAAUCAAGUUGCCUUUGAAGAAAUUCAUAGGAAAGUUUCUCAUUAUCAGCCAAGAGUGUGCCAUAACGAUCUUGAAUACUAUCAAACCUAGACUGAAGACUUUUCAAAUCUUUAGUGAGGACUUGAGUACGAUUCAUUUCAUCGUUUAACAGAUCAUCACUUCUGUCUAGAAGUUUCUGAAGCUUUUCAAUGGCACUUUGUUGCUUAGUGGCAAUGUUUUCAAGUUUAUA